UACGAAGGGGGCUAGCGUUGCUCGGAAUCACUGGGCGUAAAGCGCACGUAGGCGGGUUCUUAAGUCAGGGGUGAAAUCCUGGAGCUCAACUCCAGAACUGCCUUUGAUACUGGGAAUCUCGAGUCCGGGAGAGGUGAGUGGAACUGCGAGUGUAGAGGCGAAAUUCGUAGAUAUUCGCAAGAACACCAGUGGCGAAGGCGGCUCACUGGCCCGAUACUGACGCUGAGGUGCGAAAGCGUGGGGAGCAAACAGG
This 253-nucleotide ribosomal RNA is filed under the name uncultured bacterium. Its description in RNAcentral is "partial 16S ribosomal RNA". It matches the Rfam family "Bacterial small subunit ribosomal RNA", at positions 524 to 776 of the family's 1533-position model. The record is from RNAcentral.